UAAUCUCAUCUUUUCAAUUGUAUUGUUGACUUGUGUGGAUUUGGAUGUUGCCAUAAAACGAAUUGGCUCAUCUGAAAUGCUUGAGUGUACCCUGUUUUUGCAGUGUAUCUGAUGUGAUAAUUCUUCAUCAGGAAUGGUCUUUUGUACCACAUUGCUUUUACUGGAUGUAUGCUUCCAACUGUCUUUACCGACUACAUUUUGACA
RNAcentral lists this unclassified non-coding RNA (204 nucleotides) under uncultured Agaricomycetes. Its description in RNAcentral is "sequence contains ITS2". The record is from RNAcentral. Lineage: Eukaryota; Fungi; Basidiomycota; Agaricomycetes.